RNAcentral lists this transfer RNA (74 nucleotides) under Staurocarteria crucifera. RNAcentral's name for it is "tRNA-Ile". It matches the Rfam family "tRNA". Rfam says of the family: Transfer RNA (tRNA) molecules are approximately 80 nucleotides in length. Their secondary structure includes four short double-helical elements and three loops (D, anti-codon, and T loops). RNAcentral also lists the same sequence under 1 other name. Lineage: Eukaryota; Viridiplantae; Chlorophyta; Chlorophyceae; Chlamydomonadales; Chlamydomonadaceae. The record is from RNAcentral.
GGGCUAUUAGCUCAGGUGGUUAGAGCGUACCCCUGAUAAGGGUAAGGCCACUGGUUCAAGUCCAGUAUAGCCCA